This 535-nucleotide ribosomal RNA is filed under the name Serpula himantioides. RNAcentral describes it as "partial small subunit ribosomal RNA". It matches the Rfam family "Bacterial small subunit ribosomal RNA", at positions 365 to 903 of the family's 1533-position model. Lineage: Eukaryota; Fungi; Basidiomycota; Agaricomycetes; Boletales; Serpulaceae. The record is from RNAcentral.
UAGUCAAUGCUCGCAAGAGUGAACUAGCUAACUGAAAUCAUAUAUGUGUCAUAUGUGAUAAAAUAAGGGAAAAUAAUGAUAUUACCUUAUUAUUAGUGUUGUCCAAAACUGGUGCCAGAAGACUCGGUAAGGCCAGAGACGCGAACGUUAGUCGUCCUAAUCAGGCGUAAAGGGUUUGUAGGCUGCUUUAAAAGUCUUAUUUUUAAUAUAGCUAAAAUAAAGAUAAGAUCAAUUAAAGCUAGAAUCAAAUAGAGGGUAAACCAAAUAAUACUUAGAGUAGGGCCGAUAUCCAUAAAUACUAGGUGGAAUACUAAAGGUGAAAGCUUUUUAUCUACUAAUGAUUGACGCUGAGAAACGAAGGUGAGGAAAGGAAACAGGAUUAGAUACCCACAUACCCCUCUCUGUCAACGAUGAAUGGUGGCUUGCUAAUUGAAUAAAACAUUAAAAAGUUUAAUGUAAUUAUAAUAAAAAAUUGGUAGCGAUGUUAACACGAUAACCAUUCCGCCUUGUGAGUACGACUGCAAAGUGAAAACAA